GGAAUAUUGCACAAUGGGCGCAAGCCUGAUGCAGCGACGCCGCGUGGAGGAUGAAGGCCCUUGGGUUGUAAACUCCUUUUGCAGGGGAAGAAAUGCGAUCAGGUGAAUAAUCUGGUCGCAUGACGGUACCCUGCGAAUACGCUCCGCCUAACUCCGUGCCCGCAGCCGCGGUAACACGGGGGGAGCAAGCGUUGUUCGGAAUCACUGGGCGUAAAGGGCGUGUAGGCGGUCAGGUAAGUGGGAUGUGAAAUGCCCCGGCUCACCCGGGGACCUGCAUCCCAAACUGCUUGGCUUGAGUAUGGGAGAGGAUGAGGGAAUUCCUGGUGUAGCGGUGAAAUGCGUAGAUAUCAGGAGGAACACCGGUGGCGAAGGCGCUCAUCUGGCCCAAUACUGACGCUGAGGCGCGAAAGCUAGGGGAGCAAAC
RNAcentral lists this ribosomal RNA (424 nucleotides) under uncultured bacterium. Its description in RNAcentral is "bacterial SSU rRNA". It matches the Rfam family "Bacterial small subunit ribosomal RNA", at positions 358 to 773 of the family's 1533-position model. The record is from RNAcentral.